UAGAAAGUAAGUAAGGGUGUAUGGUGGAUGCCUUGGCUCUUAGAGGCGAUGAAAGACGUGAUAAGCUGCGAUAAGCUUUGGGGAGGUGCAAACAACCUAUGAUCCGAAGAUUUCUGAAUGGGGCAACCCAGCCAAUUUAUUGGUUAUCUGAUUAUAUCAGAGGCAAACCCGGAGAACUGAAACAUCUAAGUACCCGGAGGAAGAGAAAACAAAAGUGAUUCCGUUAGUAGUGGCGAUCGAACGCGGAUUAGCCCAAACCAAUUACGUUUCGGCGUAAUUGGGGUUGUAGGACUGCAAUAUGAGAUUAUGCGUGAAGUGGAAGUAACUGGAAAGUUACACCAAAGAGGGUGAAAGUCCUGUACACGUAAGCAAAUAUGAUCUAGCAGUAUCCUGAGUAGGGCGGGGCACGUGAAACCCUGUCUGAAUCUGCCAGGACCAUCUGGUAAGGCUAAAUACUCCUAAGAGACCGAUAGUGAACCAGUACCGUGAGGGAAAGGUGAAAAGUACCCCGAACAGGGGAGUGAAAAAGUACCUGAAACCAUACACUUACAAGCGGUCGGAGCAUAUUUAUAUGUGACGGCGUGCCUUUUGCAUAAUGAGCCUACGAGUUACUCCUCACUGGCAAGGUUAAUAGUUUAAGGCUAGGAGCCGAAGCGAAAGCGAGUCUGAAUAGGGCGCUAAAGUCAGUGGGGGUAGACGCGAAACCGUGUGAUCUACCCAUGGGCAGGUUGAAGUCUUGGUAACACAAGAUGGAGGACCGAACCAGGGAGCGUUGAAAAGCUCUUGGAUGACCUGUGGGUAGGGGUGAAAGGCCAAUCAAACUCGGAAAUAGCUCGUACUCCCCGAAAUGCAUUUAGGUGCAGCCUUGGAUAUAGUAUUGCAGAGGUAGAGCUACUGAUUGGAUGCGAGGGCUUCACCGCCUAUCAACUCCAGACAAACUCCGAAUGCUGUAAUAUGAUUACCAGGAGUGAGGGCAUGGGUGCUAAGGUCCAUGUCCGAAAGGGAAAGAACCCGGACCAUCAGCUAAGGUCCCCAAGUAUAUGUUAAGUUGAACAAACGAGGUCUGAUUGCAUAGACAGCUAGGAUGUUGGCUUGGAAGCAGCCAUUCAUUUAAAGAGUGCGUAACAGCUCACUAGUCGAGCGAUCGGGCAUGGAUAAUAAUCGGGCAUUAAACAUAUCACCGAAGCUAUGGAUUUAAUGGACUACCAUUAAGUGGUAGGGGAGCAUUCUAACCAGCGUUGAAUGCAUACUGUGAGGUGUGCUGGAGCGGUUAGAAAAGCAAAUGUAGGCAUAAGUAACGAUAAGGGGGGCGAGAAACCCCCCCGCCGAUAGACUAAGGUUUCCUGAUCAACGCUAAUCGGAUCAGGGUUAGUCGGGACCUAAGGGAAAGCCGAACGGCGAACUCGAUGGACAACAGGUUAAUAUUCCUGUACUUUGUAUAAUUGUGAUGGGGCGACGGAGUGAUGAAAGCACCGCGUACUGACGGAAUAGUACGUUGAAGGGCUUAGGUUAUGAUAUGUGUAGGCAAAUCCGCACAUUGAGCUGAAACCUGAUAGUACCAAGCGUCUUCGGACAAUUGGAUAGUGUGCCUAAGGGCUUCCAAGAAAAACCUCUAAACGUAGAUUAUACAGACCCGUACCGCAAACCGACACAGGUAGUCAAGGAGAGAAUCCUGAGGCGCUCGAGUGAUUCAUGGCUAAGGAACUAGGCAAAAUCGAUCCGUAACUUCGGGAGAAGGAUCGCUCCUCGUAAGGGGAGCCGCAGUGAAAAGGCCCAGGCGACUGUUUAUCAAAAACACAGGGCUUUGCUAAAUCGAAAGAUGAUGUAUAAGGCCUGACACCUGCCCGGUGCCGGAAGGUUAAGUGGGGGCGUUAUCUUCGGAGAAGCGCUGAAAUGAAGCCCCGGUAAACGGCGGCCGUAACUAUAACGGUCCUAAGGUAGCGAAAUUCCUUGUCGGGUAAGUUCCGACCUGCACGAAUGGUGCAACGAUCUGGGCACUGUCUCAGCCAUGAGCUCGGUGAAAUUGAAGUAUCGGUGAAGAUGCCGAUUACCCGCAACGGGACGGAAAGACCCCGUGAACCUUUACUGCAACUUCACAUUGAUUCUGGGCAUGUAAUGUGUAGGAUAGGUCGGAGACAAUGAAGCGGCGUCGCUAGGCGUUGUGGAGUCGUCCUUGAAAUACGACCCUUUGCCUGUUUGGAACCUAACUCAGCGAUGAGGACAUUGUGUGGUGGGUAGUUUGACUGGGGUGGUCGCCUCCAAAAGAGUAACGGAGGCUUCUAAAGGUACCCUCAAGACGAUUGGUAACCGUCUGUAGAGUGUAAUGGCACAAGGGUGCUUGACUGUGAGACCAACAAGUCGAUCAGGUACGAAAGUAGAGCAUAGUGAUCCGGUGGUUCCGUAUGGAAGGGCCAUCGCUCAAAGGAUAAAAGGUACUCCGGGGAUAACAGGCUGAUCGCUCCCAAGAGCUCAUAUCGACGGAGCGGUUUGGCACCUCGAUGUCGGCUCGUCACAUCCUGGGGCUGGAGAAGGUCCCAAGGGUUGGGCUGUUCGCCCAUUAAAGUGGCACGCGAGCUGGGUUCAGAACGUCGUGAGACAGUUCGGUCCCUAUCUGUUGUGGGCGCAGGAAACUUGAGAGAAGCUGCUGCUAGUACGAGAGGACCGCGGUGGACAAACCUCUGGUGUAUCAGUUGUGCCGCCAGGUGCAUUGCUGAGUAGCUACGUUUGGAAGAGAUAAGUGCUGAAAGCAUCUAAGCACGAAGCUCCACUCAAGAUGAGGUUUCCUUAGAGGGUCGUUGGAGACUACGACGUUGAUAGGCUGCAGGUGUAAAGGUUGCGAGACCAAAGCCGAGCAGUACUAAUUACCCGAAACUUUCAUUA
This 2880-nucleotide ribosomal RNA is filed under the name Halosquirtibacter laminarini. RNAcentral describes it as "23S ribosomal RNA". It matches the Rfam family "Bacterial large subunit ribosomal RNA". Lineage: Bacteria; Pseudomonadati; Bacteroidota; Bacteroidia; Marinilabiliales; Prolixibacteraceae. The record is from RNAcentral.